Molecule: long non-coding RNA, 1063 nt
Filed under: Dasypus novemcinctus (nine-banded armadillo)
Lineage: Eukaryota; Metazoa; Chordata; Mammalia; Cingulata; Dasypodidae
Description: lncRNA (ENSDNOG00000051940.1)
Source: RNAcentral
AGAAUCAGCAGGUGCAAUGAAGCCUGACAGUUUUCCUGAUUUACCUCCAACAUGCAAAUUAAAAGUGCUCUCGCGCUUUUUCCAAAGGAGUGUUUCUCGCGUAUUUUCCAAAGGAGCGUUUCUGAGUGAAGUUCGACGUUCACCUGACUUUAGCAUUUACUUCUCUAGGACUUCUCUAGGACUAGAGCUAGUGCCUUCAGAAGACGCAUCUCCAAGGUGGCGCCCCUCGCGGGCCCCGGCUCUGGGCACAGAGGACAGAAAGAACAAGGAAGAGAAGGAGAGAGCUCUGGUGUUCAUGCUCUCCUUCGUCAGUGCUACAACCAUGUAUCGGGCACCGGUGAUGUACGGGCUGCACUUCAGACUCUGGGGGUACUGGGGUGGCAGGACAACAGCGUCACUGCCCUCCAGAGCUCACGGCUCUUCCUCGGAGCAUGAGUCAAAUGGAAACAGAGAUGGCCUGCCUGCCUCCAGGACCCCCUUCCCUGCCACCAAUGCCAGCAGCCUGGGAACCAGCUCUUCCUCCAGGAUCAGCUCCAGCACCAGUCCGGGGCGAGCUCACACCCACCCACCCACUGAACGUCGGGACAUUCCCUUCUCCCACGGCACCAACUGUACUCUCCCGUGGGCACCCCCGCCCUGAUGCAGCUAUUUCUGCGACAUCGACGUACUUUCUACCCUCUUACCAAUGGGUUUCUCCUUUGUAGUGCACCCACCCAUCCUGCAAGUAUUUUGAGCAUAUGCUGGUCUUCAAUGGUAAGUCCUUAGAGGACACUGAUUGUUCACUUAAGCUUAUAAGCGAAGUUACACCCAUCACAGCACCUCACCUCCUUAAGAUUACUUUAUGAGAGGGAGGGGAGGGGCAGACAAAGGCAAAGGUGACAAGGGACUGAAAAUAAAAUAAGCCUGUGAAGGCAUCUGAACAAAUGGUAAUACAAUUACUAUAUGUUAAAUAUAAGAAUAAACAUAAAGAACCCUUAUAGCUCUUAUAUAUAACUGUUAUAUGUUAUUUCAUAUCCAUAAAUGUUAUUAUAUACAUAAUUUUAUAUUAUCUCCAUGUAUCUAA